Molecule: ribosomal RNA, 5447 nt
Filed under: Triticum aestivum (bread wheat)
Lineage: Eukaryota; Viridiplantae; Streptophyta; Magnoliopsida; Poales; Poaceae
Description: partial small subunit ribosomal RNA
Source: RNAcentral
CAACAUUCUGUACCCAGUCUCCUCUCGUCUCCUUCCUCCUUCCCAAGUCUCCUCCUCUCUGAUCCCCUAUAUCUCUCGGGUUGUAUUUCUCGAAUUGAAGUGAGGAACUCUGUAAUUGAUGUUGGAUUGGGUGUGAUUACCUCGGUACAUCACAGUUGGUAUCAGAUUCGGGCGAUCGGCAGCGGGGUGUGGCGAAUCGAGCUCGGUUACGGCUAGGUUGGGCUCUUCCGUGAAAUUCCGAGUCGUGAUCGGGGUUCGCGGCGGCGGUGUGGCGGCCGUUGUCAGAGUCGGCGCCGGUGGCAUUUUCUGGGCGGCGGUGGUUGUUCGGCUUUGGAUUCAGGUACGCCGCGGUUUCCCUCGGUUCCUUAUGAGGGUGUGAAAUUCCGGCGAGCGGCUGGAUUUGCGAGGCAAGGCGGCGAGCGGGUCGGUUGUAGAGGCUCAGGUUGGGGGCGUCCGUAAAACACCUGAGGCUCGCCGACUCCGGCGGCAGUAGACGAGGGCGCUACGGCUCCGACGAAGGCAAGUGUGCAGAUACGGUUAGUGCUCGACUCAAUGGCCACAUUCGAGGCAUCUGUUAUGAAGCAGCUUGAAGCUCUCUCCAAGGCCACUGAACAUCUCGGACACAUUGAUGAGAUAGCAGCUCGCCUAGAUAGGUUGGAUUUGAAGAUGGCUGAGCAAGUGGAACGCCUUGAUGUGGUGCAGGGUAAUGUGAACCUCGCAAUGAUAUCCAUGGGGGAAGCCCGACAAGCAGGCGGCAACAACAAGAGAGAUGCUGAACAAACAGUCAAUGCAGUCAUCGGCAGCCAGCGGUGAUGGAAUCCUGGGAUCACCUCCUCUGAAACAAGCUCAGCAGCAAGUACAAACUCAGGUACAGGGUAAUGCAACCUUUGGCGAGCGGUAUCAGUAUGAUACAGCAAAUGCCGGAUAGUCACACAGCCGGAAACCUUGGAUGCCGAAGAUGGAUUUUCCCAAAUUCGAGGGCUCGGAUGUCAGGAUUUGGUUAGAUGGAUGACAUUCCAGAAGCAUUUAAGGUAACAUAUGCAACCUUACACAUGUUUGGGGAUGCAGCGAACUGGUUUCAUGCAUACAAGUUAAUACAUCAGUGGCCAAGCUGGAGUGAAUUCAGAAUUGCGGUGACUACUGAAUUUGAUAGAAAUGUACACCGGAACAAAAUGAAAGAGUUGCUAUUGCUUAAACAGUCUGCGUCAGUCCUGGAGUAUAAAAGGGAAUUUAAUCAGUUGGUCUAUCAGCUGCUGCUAUAUGAGCAAUCUGUUAGUGAUACCUUUUUGGUCACCAGGUUUCUGUUGGGUUUAAAAGAAGAGCUCAGAGGAGCUGUAGAGAUUCAGUUGCCAAGGAAUGUAGCUGAAGCGGCAGAUUAUGCUAUUGUUCAAGAAGAAGUGAUGAGCAGAACUAAAAGUGUUAAAUCUUCUUAUACAAAGAUGUACAACCAGAAAUCUAAUAACAGAAUCAAUUCAGUGCCCUCGGGUGAUCUAUGGAAAGCUAGGCAGUUGAAAGAAUUUAGGAGAAUCAAUGGGUUGUGUUAUAGCUGCGGAGACAAAUAUAUGCCUGGUCAUGUGUGUGCUAAGUCCCCUACUGCACAGGUGCAUGUCAUGCAGUCGGACAAUUCUGCAAUACUCAGUGAUGAAAUUUUGGAUGCAGUUAUUACUCAGGAGGAAGCUAUGGCAGAAAUGCAGUUGUCUGUCAAUGCUCUAUCGGGUGCUGAUCAUCCCAAAACACUCAGAUUACGAGCUCUCAUCGGAAACCAGGUAGUUAUCAUACUUGUGGAUUCGGGCAGUACCAGUAGCUUCAUUGAUUCUGCAUUACUCCAGAGACUUAAAGUGACAACCACCACCUUAGACACUGCCUUGCCUGUAAGAGUGGCAAAUGGUGAAUUGCUACAAUGUACUGAAGAAGUAGCAGACUUACACUGGUGGGUGCAAGGUCAUACCUUCAAGUAUGAUUUCAAAGCCCUGGCUCUGAGAGGCUAUGAUUUGAUUCUAGGAAUGGAUUGGCUAGAGCAAUGGGGAGAAAUGGUAUGUCAGUGGAAAGAGAAGUGGGUGCAAUUUCAGUUGGAGGGACAUGUGAUCAAGUUACAAGGCCUUACUACUGCCGUUUCAUCUUAAUUGCAAGAAAUGUCAGCAGAGCAAGUGGUCCGGUGGCACCAGGGAAAUGAUAUAUGGGCCACUGUUUUGAUCUCCCCUGUGUCAGAUAAACAUACAAUAGGUGUUCCAGCCGAAGUGCAAGCUCUUUUAACAGAAUUUGAGGAUGUUUUUCAAGAGCCACAAUCUGUGCCACCUAGCAGAGUACAUGAUCAUGCAAUACAUUUACUUCCUGGUACAGUGCCUGUGAAUGUAAGACCAUAUAGAUAUUCUCCAUUACAAAAAGAUGAAAUAGAGAGACAAGUGGCAGAGAUGUUGCAAGUAGGACUCAUUGUGCCCAGCAUCAGCCCAUUUGCUUCUCCUGUUUUGUUGGUUAAAAAGAAGGAUGGAUCAUGGAGAUUUUGUGUGGAUUACAGGAAGCUGAAUUCUAUCACUCUGAAAAAUAAAUUUCCUAUGCCCAUUGUGGAUGAGCUAUUGGAUGAGCUGGGAGGAUCUAAAUGGUUUUCUAAACUGGAUUUAAGGGCAGGUUAUCAUCAAAUUCGAAUGGUGCCUGAAGAUGAACACAAAACUGCCUUUAAAACCCAUUGUGGACACUAUCAGUUCAGAGAGAUGCCCUUUGGAGUGUGUGGUGGCCCCUCCACUUUCCAAUGUGGUAUGAAUUUCAUGUUUGCCCCUCAAAAUAGGAAGUAUGUGAUUAUGUUCAUGGAUGACAUCUUAGUUUUCAGCAAAUCAUUCCUAGAGCAUUUGGAUCAUCUCAGAAACGUACUGCAAGUGUUGAGGGAGCAUCAAUUUUAUGCAAAAUUUAGCAAGUGUACUCGCUCAACAGAAAUUGGAAUAUCUAGGGCACAUUAUCUCAGAUACUGGGGUGUCUACUGAUCCUGAAAAGACUAAGGUCAUGUUGGACUGGCCAGUUCCCACUUCUGUUACUGAAUUGCGAGGAUUUCUUGGACUGACUGGGUACUAUAGGAAAUUCGUGCAGAGCUAUGGAAUUAUUGUCAAACCCUUAACUCAGCUCCUUAAGAAACAUGGCUUUGGGUGGUCUGAAGGUGCACAACAAGCCUUCGACACCCUCAAGCAGGCCAUGGCAACAACACCUGUACUAAGUUUGCCUGAUUUCGACCAACCCUUCAUCAUAGAGACUGAUGCUUGUGCAACUGGGGUGGGGGUUGUGCUUCUUCAACAUGGACAUCCUGUAGCUUAUUACAGCAAGGCACUGGGAGUUAAGAACCAACAUUUGUCCAUCUAUGAGAAGGAGUUUCUGGCCAUUAUGAUGACAGUGGAGAAGUGGAGAUCGUACUUGCAGAGAGGUCCCUUCAUCAUAAAAAUAGAUCAUCAAAGCUUGUGCCAGCUAGGAGAUCAAGUUCUCACCUCUGAUCUGCAAAGGAAGGCCAUGAUGAAAUUAGUGGGACUUCAGUUUUCUUUUCAGUACAAAAAAGGAAAUGAAAAUACAGUGGCAGAUGCCUUAUCUAGAGUGGGGCACUUGUUAGCUGUGACAACUACUUCUCAGAGUCAGCCAGUAUGGAUGAUUGAAGUCACUAAUUCAUAUGCAGUGGAUCCUCAGGCACAAAAAUUAUUGCAACAAUUGGCUGUGUUCACUGAGAAUGCAGAAGGGUUCUCCUUACACCAGGGAAUAAUUAAGCAGGAGGAUAGGAUCUGGAUUGGGGCAAAUUCAGCUUUAAAAACAAAACUGAUCUCUGCCUUUCAUGCUAGUGCUGUGGGAGGUCACUCUGGUAUUCAAGCCACUUAUCAAAGAGUGCAGAAAUUGUUUAGUUGGCCUGGCAUGAAGCAAGAUGUGACUGAAUUUGUGUAACAGUGUGAGAUUUGUCAGAAAGCUAAACAUGAAAACUGUAAGUCUCCAGGGCUGUUGAAUCCCUUGCCAGUGCCAGAUAUACCUUGGCAACACAUCACUAUGGAUUUUAUUGAGGCCUUGCCUAAAUCCAACGGAUAUACAGUCAUCUUGGUUGUGGUAGACAGGUAUACAAAUAUAGCCAUUUCAUUGCUCUCAAACAUCCCUUCUCUACACCCACAGUGGCUAAAGAAUUAUUGGAGUCAGUGGUCUAACUCCAUGGGCCACCCUCUUCUAUUGUGUCAGAUAGAGAUAAGAUAUUUACAAGUCACUUUUGGAAAGAUUUAUUCAAGUUAUGGGACACAAAGUUGACCAUGAGCACAACUUAUCACCCCCAAACGGACGGGCAAAGUGAAAGGGUCAACCAAUGUGUGGAGAUGUACUUGAGGUGUGCUGUCCAUGUCAAUCCUCACAAAUGGCACUCCUGGCUUGCUCUAGCUGAAUUUUGGUACAACACCAAUUACCACUCUUCUCGCUGCUCCCCGUUUAAGGCUCUCUAUGGUUACAACCCCAAUUAUGGGUUCUUUUCAUCAGUGCUUCAGUCGGCUAACGUGGAUGUGGAACAAUGGUUGAGAGAACACCAAUCCCACUCAGCCUUACUCAAAAACCACCUGCUAAAAGCUCAAGCAAAGAUCAAGAUGUAUGCGGAUCAACAUAGAUCUGCACGCUCUUUCUCAGUGGGAGAUGAGGUCUUUUUGAAGUUGCAACCGUAUGCCCAACACUCAGUGGUAAAUAGGCCUUGUGCUAAGUUGGCCUAUAAAUAUUAUGGUCCUUUUCAGGUUCUGGAGUGUAUAGGUCCAGCCGCCUACAAGCUCCAACUUCCUACGGAAGCUCAGAUACAUCCAGUUUUUCAUGUGUCUCAAUUGAAAGAACACAAGUCAGAUCACACUCCAGUGUUUUCUCAGUUGCCUGCAGCAGUCGACUUGUCAGGUGUUCAAGUGGUGCCAGAGAGGAUUCUUGAACGCAAGAUGGUGAAACGCCACAACAAGGUGCAGGUCCAAGUGUUGAUUCAGUGGUCUGGUUUAGCAGCUGAAGCAGCCACCUGGGAAGACUAUGAUGUCUUGAAGAACAGGUUUCCGGACGCACCAGCAUGGGGACAUGCUGCAACUCAAGAGGGAGGCAUUGUCAGUACAGCUACGACAGUACUGACAACGACGACAGACACUGAAGCCACCUACGUGUAAUUCAUGCGGAAGGUUAGUGGGCCUAAAGUAGUGGGCCGCGUCUGGUGAGCGAGAGGCAGUAGUAUAACAGGCCGAGUCGCCGGAUCGGUGUGAUAGCGAGGAAUUAGUCAACAUUCUGUACCCAGUCUCCUAUCGUCUCCUUCCUCCUUCCCAAGUCUCCUCCUCUCUGAUCCCCUAUAUCUCUCGGGUUGUAUCUUUUGAAUUGAAGUGAGGAACUCUGUAAUUGAUGUUGGAUUGGGUGUGAUUACCUCGGUACAUCACAUUCGGUUUUUCAUAGUGGUAUUUUGGUACUUGUGGUUUCCACCAGUGAUAUUGUGG